AACAUAAGUGAAUCAUCAUGGCUGCUAGCCUGAUGCCAAGCAUAAAGAGCUGAUCAUCAUCAGGUAUACAAAAAUAUCAAAAAUGUGGUACUGCAAUGGGCAAUGGGCCAAAAACCAGCAAUAAGACAUUCAAAAUCCCAUCAUCAAACCCAUAGACAUCCAAACUUGUUCAUUAAACCCACAGUCAUCCGAAACUUCAUGGUCGAACCCACAAAUGGCAAAAAUAAAAUCAGGGGAGAAAGCCACAAAUUCCUGAGAUGAAUCAGACCUAUCAAGCAAACAAUUUUUGGGGGAGAGCAUAGCAUCAAGAUCAGAUAAAGGGUAAUGGUGUCUAAGCCUUACCGGAGACAAGUACGGUGAUCACAACAUUGUGGAGGGAAGUACUGAACUAGAGCAUAGAGAGCCAUCAUGAGGAAGCACCAGAAGCCCUGAGAUGGAGCUCAAGGACCUUUGCCAAGUUAGCAAGCAAGGAUGGUGCUGAGUUGGGUUGAUGAUGCACAGUAAGCCAGUACUGAGACAGUGGAAGCCCGGAGAAGAGCCAUUCUGCUAUGAGGUCAACCCAUACACCACACUUUUGAUAGAAAAAUGAACUUCUUGUAGAAAUGAAUAUUCAUCACUUAACCAGGGGCAGGUGUCACUUCAAGUGCAGGAGUGAGAAAUCAUAACUCUAGAAGAAUUACAUUUGGUGUGGAAGUCAAAUUAUGGAGAGGUUCAGGUGUGGGUAGCACCCAAGAUGGAAGAUUCCAGCCAGCAAGACCAUCAUCAAUGGGCUGGUCUUCUCUUAUCAUCUGCACUGUCAAAUUUUGGCUCUAUGUGAUCUUUACAUGACACUGAACUUGAUUGAACCUUUACUGAAUCCUUUUUGUUGGGGAUCUAGAAAAGUUGAAGCUUUGUUUAGGUGGCUGCUGACAUCCUCAUAAUGCCUGCAUAGGCUAAUUAUAAUUUGCUAGAUCCAUUCUCUGCACACUGUAAAGUUUUAUAAAGCUAAUUGGUGCAACUUGCUCA
This 1005-nucleotide long non-coding RNA is filed under the name Elaeis guineensis (African oil palm). RNAcentral's name for it is "long non-coding RNA (EGUI_LNC003255)". Lineage: Eukaryota; Viridiplantae; Streptophyta; Magnoliopsida; Arecales; Arecaceae. The record is from RNAcentral.